Molecule: ribosomal RNA, 417 nt
Filed under: Theileria cervi
Lineage: Eukaryota; Apicomplexa; Aconoidasida; Piroplasmida; Theileriidae
Description: SSU rRNA
Rfam family: Eukaryotic small subunit ribosomal RNA
Source: RNAcentral
GACAAGAAAUAACAAUACGGGGCUUAAUGUCUUGUAAUUGGAAUGAUGGGAAUUUAAACCUCUUCCAGAGUAUCAAUUGGAGGGCAAGUCUGGUGCCAGCAGCCGCGGUAAUUCCAGCUCCAAUAGCGUAUAUUAAAAUUGUUGCAGUUAAAAAGCUCGUAGUUGAAUUUCUGCUGCAUUGCAUUUGCUCCUUGACGAGUGUCUGUAUUGCGGCUUAUCUCGGAUUAUGCUUGCAUUUUCCGGAUGUUUACUUUGAGAAAAUUAGAGUGCUCAAAGCAGGCUUUUGCCUUGAAUAGUUUAGCAUGGAAUAAUAAAGUAGGACUUUGGUUCUAUUUUGUUGGUUUUAGGUACCAAAGUAAUGGUUAAUAGGAACAGUUGGGGGCAUUCGUAUUUAACUGUCAGAGGUGAAAUUCUUAG